GCGCACCCUCGCGGCUCGCCCGCCCGGGCCGGCCGUGCACUUGUCUUCGCGCUCGGGCCGGGCGCGGGGCUCCGCGGCGGCGGCCGUCUCGUCUCGGCCGGUCUGCCAGCUCGUGGGAGCACAGAUCCACUCUAAAGACCACUGCGAUCUGAGCUGUCAGCAGCCGGCCUCCUGGGGCCCUGCCCCCCCUGCACCCCGUGUCUGUCCUCACAGGCCGAGGGGGAAGCCAGGUGGCCACAGCCACUGCCAGCCAUGUGGUAGCCCAGUGGGACCAAAGGGGACAGGCCCUUUGUUGGUGGCUCAUCAGGGAGACCCCUGCACCCCAGGGUAAGUGGAUCCCAGACUCGGGUCACCUUUAGGGGUGGGGGCAGCUAACAUAGGGGUUGGAUAGAAAAACUGGUGACUUAAGAAAGUGCCAACCUUUGAAAUAACGCUAACAAUAUAACAGUAAUAAUAAUAAUUCUGCUUUCUAGAGCCCCCCAGAGUCACUGUCCCCUUUCUCCCAUCGCUGAUGGUGGGGAAUCUGCUCAGAGAGGCUAGGUGACCCGCCCAGUGUCACACAGCCUGAAGGGGGCAGUUGCACCAAGUGGAAGGGCCCCAACCCCCACAGUUUCCACCACCCAGCUCCCGUGGCCCCGCUCCCUGCAACAGCCCUUAGGGAACAGCUUCUUUGGUCCUUCCUUCCCCUGCAAACAUUGACUGACAUUCUAGGGUCAGCAGGGAGCUGCCGAUGAGGGUGUGGGGAGGACAGAGGCACCAGUCCUAGAUGUGUGGGGUCGGUUACUCCAUCAACAAACACCAAGCAGUUACGGUGUACCAGACCCUGAGCUGGGCAGUGGGGACACGGUGGGUGCUGAGGUGGCACCAGGUCAGGUCUUGUGAUAUGUGGGGGGAAGACAAUAAAACAUAGUGAUGUCUUAGAGAAUGCCUGGGGGAGAGGGAAAGGGCAGAAGGGCCUCUCCAGGGAGGUGACCGUGAGCUGAGAUCUGAAGGAGGAGGAGGAGAUGGCCAGGCCAGAGCUGGGAGAACAGUGUACUAGGCAGAAGGAACAGUACGUGCAAAGGUCCUGAGGCAGAAAUGACUUGGCAUGUUUCAGGAACAGUGAAGAGGCUGGUGUGGCUGGAAGAGAAUGAGGGAGGAGGAGAAAGAAGAAAGAUGAAGGCAGGGAGGUCUGCGGACAGGGAUUGAGGUGCAGGAGUGGACUGCAGAGCAAUGGGGAGCCAUGGAGGGUGUAUGAGCAGGGGAGAAACAUGGUCUGAUUUAUGAUUUUCAAAAGCUCCUGUGGCUGCUGUGGAGAGCUGGGACUGUCAGGGCAGGAGUGGAAGUGGCAGAAGGCCAAUAGGGGAAGCCGAUGAGGCAUCUGGGAAGAGUUGGCAGGGCCAGGACGAAGGUGGGCCUCAGGGAUGGAGAGCAGCGGGCAGAUUCUGGAACUGAGCUGGGCAUGGAGGAUGCGUGUGGUCAGGUUUUUGCCUGAUGCUGAGGAACCGCAGGGAGGGAAGGAGGGAUUCAUUGUGCUGGGGGAGAUCUGGGAGGGCAUCCUGGAGGAGGUGUUCUUGCUCUUUGAACUGAGUCUGGAAGGGCAAGUAGGAGUUUGCUGGUGGCCAGCUGGAGCUGUGCCUGGGGUCUAAUUGUACAGAUGCCGUGAGGGCCUGGGGGAGCCACUGAGCACUUGGAAUUAGGACAGAUCCCUCCAGGGAGCCUGGCACAGAGUGGCCGAGAGUCACGGAGGCCAGGAAGGCACUUCUGAAAUGGUCGAGGUUGUGAUGAGAACAGGAGCGAUGGGAGCCCCCAGGGAGCGCUUGCUGUGUGCCCGGCACAUUUCACGGGGAUUGGCUCCCUGGCCCUUCCCACUGCCCCUGGGGGCCCUCACUGCCCUGCUGAGGAAACUGAGGCUCAGAGAGGGACGGCCCCUUGUCCACGGCCACUGUAGGAGUGUCCUGGGGCUGCCGUCACAAAACCACACCCAGGGAGCUUCAAACAGCAGGAGAGUAUUGUCUCUCACUUCUGGGGGCCGUAGUCUGCGUCAGGCGGCCGGCUGGCCACCACCCCGCGGAGGCUCAGGGGACGCUCCUGGCGUCCUUAGCUUGUGGCUGCGUCCCUCCAGUCUCUGCCCUGUCUUCACCUGGCCUUCUUGUAAGGACAUUUGUUAUUGGGUGAAGGCCCACCCUAGUCCGGGAUGACCUCAUCUUAGUUUAACGACAUCUGCAAAGACCCUGUUUCCAAAUAAGGCCACGUUCUGAGGUCCCGAGUGGACGUGCGUUUUGGAGGGACACUGUUCAAACCAGUACAGCCGCGG
This 2296-nucleotide long non-coding RNA is filed under the name Equus caballus (horse). RNAcentral's name for it is "lncRNA (ENSECAG00000041982.2)". The record is from RNAcentral. Lineage: Eukaryota; Metazoa; Chordata; Mammalia; Perissodactyla; Equidae.